UUUAUUUUCAGGUCGAAAAGUUAAACACAUUGGGGUACAAGGCCAUAGUCUUCAUUGGAAAGAAAACAAAGAAGCAGAAAACCUGGUCCGCACAAGUCCUCCAGCCAAAAUGGCAGCUGUCAGACCAUUCUGAAAAAUGCCUUGACAGGAUGAAGGCCCUCUAUGAACUGUUAAUUAAUGGUAAGUGUGUGCGAUUAUUUAAAAUCUUACUCCACAGUCAACAUAAAAAUAAAUGUGACAGCAGUUACAGUUGGGGAUUUUCUUGGUACCGCUGUCACAGGGCAAACCACAGUGGGCCAAAAAUAGCUAUUCAUCUGUUGCUUCAUCAAAUUUGGUCUUUGCUUUAUCCAAUAGGUGUUUCUUUUAGAGCUGCGACAAUUAAUUGAUAUUUGAGAUUAUUAAUCAAUUAUACAAUUAAUCACCAACAAUUUUGAUAAUUGUUUAAUAAAAACAUUCUCUGCUUUCAGAGUCUUACAUAUGAAUAUAUAUAUAUAUAUAUAUAUAUAUAUAUAUAUAUAUAUAUAUAUAUAUAUAUAUAUAUAAAAUCUUUGACUUUGGGAAACACUGGUCAGCCUUUUUUUUUUUCUGAUGGUUUAUGGACCAAACAACUAAUCGAUUCAUUGAAAAAAAAAAAUAGCCGACAGAUUAUGAAAAUAACCGUUGUUUGCAGACAUAGUUUCUUUUACUAGUCAGUGAGCCACAUAGCUCACUGAUUGUCUGCCAUACAUAGCAAAAGAGUCAACAGCAAGAGGCAUUGCUCAAUUCAACUUCAAAAAACUAUAAACACAUAUCUCCACUUCACAUGAGAUAAUGAGAUCCUACAAUUUGCACCAGAGUACAAAAUCAGCCUCGCCUCAGUUCUACAGAGAGCAUAGAGUCCAUAGGGCAGCAUUUAUAGACAGAAGAAUACAAAAGACAAAUGUACUGGACGUUUCCUUAUGGAGCACAGUCCCUGCUAGAAAAAAGGGGACAUUUGUUCUUAUUACAGGAGGUGAAUAAUUUCCUCUUUUUGUACCAUUUAGGUUGUACUAACCAGCAGCCCGCCACCAGUCCUCCUCCCAUCCAGUCCACCAUCCAUCCCAUCACCAGUCCAUCUCCCAUCCAUCCCAUCACCAGUCCUCCUCCCAUCCAGUCCAUCACCAGUCCUCCUCCCAUCCAGCCCGCCACCAGUCCUCCUCCCAUCCAGUCUAUCACCAGUCCUCCUCCCAUCCAGUCCAUCACCAGUCCUCCUCCCAUCCAGUCCAUCACCAGUCCUCCUCCCAUCCAGUCCAUCACCAGUCCUCCUCCCAUCCAGCCCAUCACCAGUCCUCCUCCCAUCCAGUCCACCAUCCAACUCACCACCAGUCCUCCCAUCCUACCCAUCACAGAACCACCUCAGCAGAAACGCAAUAUGUCUGCAAACAAUAAAAAGAAGCAGAAGAAUUCUGCAGCCUCAGACAUGUCUACAAGGAAGAAACUGAGGGGGAAAAAAUCACCCAAAGAAUGUAACCAUGGGAUCCUAGAAGGGGAACCUUACUACCCAGUGAAGAGGGUGAUCCGCUGCAAAAUGCAGAAGGUUAGCUUUACAAUAAUUAAAAGUCUUAGAUGUACUCAGUGGAACUGCAGCACCCCAACUGGAAACCCCUUAACCCCCUAACUUUGAUGUUUUUUCAGGGGAUCCAAAUGAAGUUGGUGGAAUGGGAGCCCUGUUCACUCUGGUAUGUACAAUUUAUCAUAGUUUUGAUUGGAAUAGCCUAAUUCUUAGUACUUCAAAACUUAAAGUAAUAGCCUUGGCUUGUAUUUGUGGGCGGCUGUGGCUCAGUGUGUCGAAGUGUCCUUGGGCACACUUCGAGAGAGUUUCACAUCUAAUGCUGGCUAUUUCACAUGCAAGCAUGUCAGCCAAUUAAAUAAUCCAUGCCAUGGGACCUUUAAGGCAGAUAAACCUGACUGCCAUAAUUGAGAGACAUAUGUUGGUCAUAAGAACCAAUUUAUUCUGAGCAAAAGGGGAGGUCUUUCAUGACCAUAUUUUCAAGACUAAUAUUGUGCAGCAAAUUUUCAAGACUAAUAUUGUGCAGCAAAUAGGUAAUGCAUAUUCAAACCUUAACCAAAAUAUUACCAUAGGCAGGUAAUUUACUGUUACCAGGUAACUGUAAGUUUAUAAACCUACUGAAUGAAGGGGUGGCUUGCUGUUCCUCAUUGCCCUUAACCUUGUCAUGUUUGUUUUGAAUUUAAUUCAUGGCUGAUGUAAAGACCUAAAUUAAUAACAAUCUCUUUUUAUUACAGUGGGAAAACUUGGCCGCCACAGUGGGUGACGGAGGAGAACACCACAAAUUAAGGAAAUGUUCAAUCCCAUUGUUUUGUUCCAUAAGUUAUGUGUAUGUUGUUUACAGUAUAUUAAAAAAAAUUCAAAAGCCUGAAAGACUCCCACUUUGUAGCAAACCAGAGAACACAUGCUGUGUUUACAAAAGCUUGACAGAUCAUCUCUCUCCUUCACACAUAGAUGAUAGAUAGAUAGAUAGAUAUUGCAUACUUCAAAUAAUAUAAAUACAAUUAAUUCACCUCCAUGCAGAGAAAAACUUGAUAAUACACCAGAAAUAAGUUAUUACCACUGAUCUAUAAUAUAGAUCAGUGGUUAUUACUAAGACCAGACACGUGGUGGCAGCACUGAAUAUGUCAUGAGAAACGUCAUCACAUCAGUGGAACACUGCCUGGAUAUUUAAAAUAACUAAAAGUAACUAAAUAACUGGAUAACUAAAAGUACUUCUUCUUUUUCGUAACUCGUCACUUUGUCAACAUUAGUUUCUCCCGCUGCCACGGAUUAAUGUGUGUGUGUGUGUGUGUGUGUGUGUGUGUGUGUGUGUGUGUGUGUGUGCGUGCGUGCGUGCGUGCGUGUGUGAGAGAGUGAUUGAUUAAUGUGUUGAUCAGCAAAUCAACCUCAGACGCAACGCAUAUAGUGGGCAGGGGUUUGAUCCGUCAGACGGAGCGAAAUCGCGAGGAAGAGUAUGUGGAAUCUGGGGCCACAGCUAUGGUAGGCGAUAGCAGCGUCCAUAGCAACCAAAACGUUGCAGUUUCACGUUACUCUGGCGAGAUCUGAAAAAUCUUCGCAACAACGAGCAAGCGAAUGAUUAUAUAAAUUCACUGAGUGAAUAUUAUGAAAAUAAAAUAUAUAUUUCUCGCUAGAAAUGUAAUCAAAACUUAUUUUUAUGCAGAAACUAACUCAAAAUAUAGAUUUUUUCACUUAAAAUGAGAGAAAUGUCCGCCAUGUUUUUUGUUCUCACGGUCGGAAUCUUGAAAGUCACGUGACUUGGACGCAAAACAAUAGGAAAAGAAUAGGCAAAAAAAACGUAACAGUCAUACAAUUCAAGGGCCAUUAUUGUAACCCCUCUACGUUUUUCACUUUGGACCAACGUAGUCAGGGUACGUUUUUAUAUGAGACUGGGUUGAUCUGACCCAUUAUAUUCAGACAUUACCCAAACAGAGAUUAUGUAGAACAGCGAAAGCACAAUGAUAUAAAUGGC
This is a long non-coding RNA of Cyprinus carpio carpio, 3497 nucleotides long. The record is from Ensembl. NCBI's taxonomy places the organism in Eukaryota, Metazoa, Chordata, Actinopteri, Cypriniformes, Cyprinidae.